AUACGUAGGGGGCGAGCGUUGUCCGGAAUGACUGGGCGUAAAGGGUACGUAGGCGGCCAGGUAAGUCAGAUGUGAAAGGCAUAGGCUCAACCUGUGUAAGCAUUUGAAACUGUCUGGCUUGAGUUAAGGAGAGGAAAGUGGAAUUCCUGGUGUAGCGGUGAAAUGCGUAGAUAUCAGGGGGAAUACCAGUGGCGAAGGCGACUUUCUGGACUUAAACUGACGCUGAGGUACGAAAGCGUGGGGAGCAAACAGGAUUAGAUACCCUGGUAGUCCACGCCGUAAACGAUGAGUGCUAGGUGUCGGGGGGUUAGACCUCGGUGCCGGAGUUAACACAUUAAGCACUCCGCCUGGGGAGUACGUUCGCAAGAAUGAA
Molecule: ribosomal RNA, 373 nt
Filed under: uncultured bacterium
Lineage: Bacteria
Description: bacterial SSU rRNA
Rfam family: Bacterial small subunit ribosomal RNA
Source: RNAcentral